GAUGAACGCUGGCGGCGUGCCUAAUACAUGCAAGUCGAGCGAACAGACGAGGAGCUUGCUCCUCUGACGUUAGCGGCGGACGGGUGAGUAACACGUGGAUAACCUACCUAUAAGACUGGGAUAACUUCGGGAAACCGGAGCUAAUACCGGAGAAUAUAUUGAACCGCAUGGUUCAAUAGUGAAAGACGGUUUUGCUGUCACUUAUAGAUGGAUCCGCGCCGCAUUAGCUAGUUGGUAGGGUAACGGCUUACCAAGGCGACGAUGCGUAGCCGACCUGAGAGGGGGAUCGGCCACACUGGAACUGAGACACGGUCCAGACUCCUACGGGAGGCAGCAGUAGGGAAUCUUCCGCAAUGGGCGAAAGCCUGACGGAGCAACGCCGCGUGAGUGAUGAAGGUCUUCGGAUCGUAAAGCUCUGUUAUUAGGGAAGAACAAAUGUGUAAGUAACUAUGCACGUCUUGACGGUACCUAAUCAGAAAGCCACGGCUAACUACGUG
This 497-nucleotide ribosomal RNA is filed under the name uncultured bacterium. RNAcentral describes it as "partial 16S ribosomal RNA". It matches the Rfam family "Bacterial small subunit ribosomal RNA", at positions 28 to 507 of the family's 1533-position model. The record is from RNAcentral.